UUUUGCCAAAUAUACACACAGUCAGGUGCUGGAAGGAAAGGAGGAAAACUCACACAGACACGGAGGUGCACUGUCUGAGGGGAGGAUACACACAUAGUGGCCACCAGGGGGCGACAUUGGCACUGCGCCGGACAAGAAGCAGAUUGGACACUCCUGUGGGCAGUUAUGAACGUCUGAUCAGAUCGUGGUGGAGAGCAGCAGUGGGUGGAAGAGAUGGAGUGGUUUCUCUUAAGGCCGUCGCACACCGAGCAACGAAAACAACUAAAAUGAGGUCGGCAAGCUUUAAAACGAGGACCUCUUUAUGUUGAAGAUGUUCAGGUACCGGGUGCAGGAGUGCCCGUCCCAGGCGCAGUACGGGUCCCGGGCCAGGCAGCACUCGGCGCAUGCUUUACCGUACAGACUGCAGCGGUGCAGCGGAACCUGCGCCAGACCCGUAUCAGAACCUACAUACAGCUGUUGCUGCAGGGAGACAGACAGAGAGACAGACAGUGAGUCAGAGUGAUCGUCACGGCGAGAGAGAGACAGUAGAAGACAGAUUAACAGCGUGAUUGAGAGAGAGUGAGAGAAAGAGAGAGACAAAGUGAGAGAGGUAGUCACUGAGAGAAAGACUGAGAGUGAGAGAGAGAGAGUAAGAGAGACUGUCAGUAAGUGAGACAGUGAAAGAGACAGACAGUAAGAGAAACUGAAAGAAAGACAGUGAGAGACAGAGAGAAACAGAGGGAAAUGGAGAGACGGACAGUAAGAGAGAGACAGACAGUAAGAGAGAGACAGACAGUAAGAUGCAGAGAGUAAGAGAGAUUGUCUCUAGAGAGAGAGCAAGAGAGAAAGAGAGUGUGAGUGAGAGAAAGAGUGAGAUAGAAACAGUAACAGAGAGAAGAGACAGAGGGACAGAGAGAGAGAGAGAAAGACAGUGGAGACAAUGAGAGAGAGAGGGAAAGACUUACAGAGUGAGAGAAAGACAGAGUAAGAGACAGAGGGACAAAGGUGGAAAGAAACAGACAGUAUGAGAGACAGAGUGAGACAGAGAAAGAGUAAGAGAGGGAGAGA
Astyanax mexicanus (Mexican tetra) is the source of this 1047-nucleotide long non-coding RNA. RefSeq lists it as uncharacterized. The transcript is spliced from 5 exons. The record is from RefSeq and is a predicted model, not a curated record. Lineage: Eukaryota; Metazoa; Chordata; Actinopteri; Characiformes; Acestrorhamphidae.